UCCGUAGGUGAACCUGCGGAAGGAUCAGUCGCAACAACAUUGUCAGCCACACACCUUGGUAUGUGUGUGCUGUACGACAUUGUGCAUUAUUGGGAGGCACACGCGUGCGCCUCUCGAGGGAAUGGAAUAACAACGUAUAUAUAUACAAGGCUGUUUUAUUCAAACUAAACUAUAUACUUUUACGACUUUUAGCAACGGAUCUCUAGGCUCUUGCAACGAUGAAGAACGCAUGCUAACUGCGAUAAGUAAUGCGAGCCGCAAGUCUUGCGAGUCAUCGAAUGUUUGAACGCAUAUUGCGCCUCCUUGGCUACACGCUGGGGAGGCAUGCAUGUUUGAGGGUCGAUAGGACGAUGCAAAAGCGAGAUUGGGGCAUGAUGAUAGUCAUCUGCCUUUAAAUGGAUGGGACGCGCGAGAGGAGGAAAUACGUGGUGCGAUGCCAUUCACGCAGAGUAUCUCCAAGCUGGCGCGCCCACAUCAUCAUCUGAUCAUUUGGAUUGAGACCUCAAACAUGGCAGGGGGAUCACCCGGCUGGAACCUUAAGGCAUAUCAAUAAGGCGGGAGGGAAGGUCGGACUGGCCAAGGGGCACACAGGGGGGGGGAUA
This 602-nucleotide ribosomal RNA is filed under the name uncultured fungus. Its description in RNAcentral is "eukaryotic LSU rRNA". The stretch from base 184 to 342 matches the Rfam family "5.8S ribosomal RNA". Lineage: Eukaryota; Fungi. The record is from RNAcentral.